RNAcentral lists this transfer RNA (71 nucleotides) under Junco hyemalis (dark-eyed junco). It matches the Rfam family "tRNA". Rfam says of the family: Transfer RNA (tRNA) molecules are approximately 80 nucleotides in length. Lineage: Eukaryota; Metazoa; Chordata; Aves; Passeriformes; Passerellidae. RNAcentral also lists the same sequence under 2 other names. The record is from Rfam by way of RNAcentral.
GCACCAGUGGUGUAGUGGUAUCAUGCAAGGCUCCCAUUCUUGUGACCUGGGUUCAAUUCCCAGCUGGUGCA